GACGAACGCUGGCGGCGUGCUUAACACAUGCGAGUCGAACGGAAAGGCCCUGCUUUUGUGGGGUGCUCGAGUGGCGAACGGGUGAGUAACACGUGAGUAACCUGCCCUUGACUUUGGGAUAACUUCAGGAAACUGGGGCUAAUACCGGAUAGGAGCUCCUGCUGCAUGGUGGGGGUUGGAAAGUUUCGGCGGUUGGGGAUGGACUCGCGGCUUAUCAGCUUGUUGGUGGGGUAGUGGCUUACCAAGGCUUUGACGGGUAGUCGGCCUGAGAGGGUGACCGGCCACAUUGGGACUGAGAUACGGCCCAGACUCCUACGGGAGGCAGCAGUGGGGAAUAUUGCACAAUGGGCGGAAGCCUGAUGCAGCAACGCCGCGUGCGGGAUGACGGCCUUCGGGUUGUAAACCGCUUUCGCCUGUGACGAAGCGUGAGUGACGGUAAUGGGUAAAGAAGCACCGGCUAACUACGUG
This 468-nucleotide ribosomal RNA is filed under the name uncultured bacterium. RNAcentral's name for it is "partial 16S ribosomal RNA". It matches the Rfam family "Bacterial small subunit ribosomal RNA", at positions 28 to 507 of the family's 1533-position model. The record is from RNAcentral.